CCUACGGGAGGCAGCAGUGGGGAAUAUUGGGCAAUGGAGGAAACUCUGACCCAGCAACGCCGCGUGAAGGAUGAAGGUUUUCGGAUUGUAAACUUCUGUCGCGAGGGAAGAAGAAAGACGGUACCUGACCAAGAAGCCCCGGCUAACUACGUGCCAGCAGCCGCGGUAAUACGUAGGGGGCAAGCGUUAUCCGGAUUUACUGGGUGUAAAGGGAGCGUAGACGGCAGGGCAAGUCUGGAGUGAAAGGCAGGGGCCCAACCCCUGGACUGCGCUGGAAACUGUCCGGCUGGAGUGCAGGAGAGGUAAGUGGAAUUCCUAGUGUAGCGGUGAAAUGCGUAGAUAUUAGGAGGAACACCAGUGGCGAAGGCGGCUUACUGGACUGUAACUGACGUGGAGGCUCGAAAGCGUGGGGAGCAAACAGGAUUAGAUACCCGAGUAGUC
RNAcentral lists this ribosomal RNA (441 nucleotides) under uncultured bacterium. RNAcentral describes it as "partial 16S ribosomal RNA". It matches the Rfam family "Bacterial small subunit ribosomal RNA", at positions 338 to 795 of the family's 1533-position model. The record is from RNAcentral.